CCUACGGGUGGCUGCAGUGGGGAAUAUUGGACAAUGGGGGCAACCCUGAUCCAGCCAUGCCGCGUGUGUGAAGAAGGCCCUCGGGUUGUAAAGCACUUUCAGUGAGGAAGAACGCCUGGUGGUUAAUACCCAUCAGGAAAGACAUCACUCACAGAAGAAGCACCGGCUAACUCCGUGCCAGCAGCCGCGGUAAUACGGAGGGUGCGAGCGUUAAUCGGAAUUACUGGGCGUAAAGCGCGCGUAGGGGGCUUGAUAAGCCGGUUGUGAAAGCCCCGGGCUCAACCUGGGAACGGCAUCCGGAACUGUCAAGCUAGAGUGCAGGAGAGGAAGGUAGAAUUCCCGGUGUAGCGGUGAAAUGCGUAGAGAUCGGGAGGAAUACCAGUGGCGAAGGCGGCCUUCUGGACUGACACUGACACUGAGGUGCGAAAGCGUGGGUAGCAAACAGGAUUAGAUACCCUAGUAGUC
Molecule: ribosomal RNA, 465 nt
Filed under: Vreelandella stevensii
Lineage: Bacteria; Pseudomonadati; Pseudomonadota; Gammaproteobacteria; Oceanospirillales; Halomonadaceae
Description: partial 16S ribosomal RNA
Rfam family: Bacterial small subunit ribosomal RNA
Source: RNAcentral